UCACAGGCAGGUCCUGCUGUCAUUGUGCUGUCGGUGUCUGGACGUGCAGCAUCCUGAUAACCGUGCUCUGCUCUCUGGUGGGCCAUCCUGGAGACCCUGCUUUCACUGGACAGCUGCCAAGUGUUGCCUGCUUCAUCAUUUGUGGCAUUUACCUGCCAUGUGCUAUCAUGUGAACCCACGGUGGCGAUGGGAAGGGAUCCAUGGGAGGAGAGACUGCAUGGCUGUCAACAACCUCUUGGCAGGAAUCCUGCCUUACCCUGGAGAAAGGAGAUGCUGAGUCCUUGGCACAGACAGUCCUGUGAGCUGUGCAGGAAUCAAAGCAACUCUGCCAGAGAAAAAGAACACCAGUAAAUCUCCGGAUGUGUUGAGUGAGACAGCGAAAAGUGGCAUAAAAUGUAACAAGAAAAAUGUCGUGGCAGCUGAGGAUGUGUCAGUCAGCCUGCCGAGCACCUCUGUCCUUUGCAAAUUCUCAGCAAGAAUGCCUUCUAAGAGCUUUGAAUUCAGAAAAUGCAAUGAGCUAGGAUUUCAAACACCUCGAGUCUUUCAAGGAUGAAGUCAUUUCCACUCCCCAAAUGCACAUAUUCCUCAUCAGAGUCAUUUCUCUGGAAGAUUUUUUCCUUUGGA
Molecule: non-coding RNA, 624 nt
Organism: Anas platyrhynchos (mallard)
Lineage: Eukaryota; Metazoa; Chordata; Aves; Anseriformes; Anatidae
Source: RefSeq, a predicted model, not a curated record